CAGUAGCCGCGGUAAUACGGAGGGUGCGAGCGUUAAUCGGAAUAACUGGGCGUAAAGGGCACGCAGGCGGUGACUUAAGUGAGGUGUGAAAGCCCCGGGCUUAACCUGGGAAUUGCAUUUCAUACUGGGUCGCUAGAGUACUUUAGGGAGGGGUAGAAUUCCACGUGUAGCGGUGAAAUGCGUAGAGAUGUGGAGGAAUACCGAAGGCGAAGGCAGCCCCUUGGGAAUGUACUGACGCUCAUGUGCGAAAGCGUGGGGAGCAAACAGGAUUAGAUACCCGCGUAGUCCCUGUCUCUUAUAC
Molecule: ribosomal RNA, 301 nt
Filed under: uncultured bacterium
Lineage: Bacteria
Description: partial 16S ribosomal RNA
Rfam family: Bacterial small subunit ribosomal RNA
Source: RNAcentral